Molecule: ribosomal RNA, 253 nt
Filed under: uncultured bacterium
Lineage: Bacteria
Description: partial 16S ribosomal RNA
Rfam family: Bacterial small subunit ribosomal RNA
Source: RNAcentral
UACGAAGGGGGCUAGCGUUGCUCGGAAUCACUGGGCGUAAAGCGCACGUAGGCGGAUUGUUAAGUCAGGGGUGAAAUCCUGGAGCUCAACUCCAGAACUGCCUUUGAUACUGGCGAUCUCGAGUCCGGGAGAGGUGAGUGGAACUGCGAGUGUAGAGGUGAAAUUCGUAGAUAUUCGCAAGAACACCAGUGGCGAAGGCGGCUCACUGGCCCGGUACUGACACUCAACUACGAAAGCGUGGGGAGCAAACAGG